RNAcentral lists this ribosomal RNA (592 nucleotides) under uncultured bacterium. RNAcentral's name for it is "bacterial SSU rRNA". It matches the Rfam family "Bacterial small subunit ribosomal RNA", at positions 334 to 917 of the family's 1533-position model. The record is from RNAcentral.
UACUCCUACGCGAGGCAGCAGUAGGGAAUCUUCCACAAUGGACGCAAGUCUGAUGGAGCAACGCCGCGUGAGUGAGGAAGGCUUUCGGGUCGUAAAACUCUGUUGUUGGAGAAGAAUGGUCGGCAGAGUAACUGUUGUCGGCGUGACGGUAUCCAACCAGAAGGCCACGGCUAACUACGUGCCAGCAGCCGCGGUAAUACGUAGGUGGCAAGCGUUAUCCGGAUUUAUUGGGCGUAAAGCGAGCGCAGGCGGUUUUUUAAGUCUGAUGUGAAAGCCCUCGGCUUAACCGAGGAAGUGCAUCGGAAACUGGGAAACUUGAGUGCAGAAGAGGACAGUGGAACUCCAUGUGUAGCGGUGAAAUGCGUAGAUAUAUGGAAGAACACCAGUGGCGAAGGCGGCUGUCUGGUCUGUAACUGACGCUGAGGCUCGAAAGCAUGGGUAGCGAACAGGAUUAGAUACCCUGGUAGUCCAUGCCGUAAACGAUGAAUGCUAGGUGUUGGAGGGUUUCCGCCCUUCAGUGCCGCAGCUAACGCAUUAAGCAUUCCGCCUGGGGAUUACGACCGCAAGGUUGAAACUCAAAUGAAUUGACGGA